GCCCGAAGUCAUUACCUCAACCGCAAGGAGGGGGAUGCCUAAGGCAGGGCUAGUGACUGGGGUGAAGUCGUAACAAGGUAGCCGUACCGGAAGGUGUGGCUGGAUCACCUCCUUAAAGGGAGACCUAAUUCAGGUAGGCGACGAAAAAAAAGUAGUCCCUACCAAGAAUCAAUCCCAAAAGGUCGGAGCGAGGCAAGAUUGGCUUUCAAACUAGGUUCUGGGUUCACACAAGACCUGAAUCAGGAACAAGGGCUAUUAGCUCAGGUGGUUAGAGCGCACCCCUGAUAAGGGUGAGGUCCCUGGUUCGAGUCCAGGAUGGCCCACCUGCACAGGUGGCCA
Molecule: small RNA, 339 nt
Filed under: Microcystis aeruginosa Ed08
Lineage: Bacteria; Bacillati; Cyanobacteriota; Cyanophyceae; Chroococcales; Microcystaceae
Description: bacterial LSU rRNA
Rfam family: Bacterial small subunit ribosomal RNA (bases 1-115)
Source: RNAcentral